This is a long non-coding RNA of Oncorhynchus masou masou (cherry salmon), 1184 nucleotides long. RefSeq lists it as uncharacterized. The record is from RefSeq and is a predicted model, not a curated record. Lineage: Eukaryota; Metazoa; Chordata; Actinopteri; Salmoniformes; Salmonidae. The transcript is spliced from 4 exons.
UCGCCACCAUGGCUCUUGAAGUGAAGCACAUAUGUCUUUACUCCUAAGGAGAGUUUUGUUUGUGGGUUCUUAUCCAAACCCGAUCAGAGAUCUCCUCUAAAGCAGUGACGUUUUGGGGCUGUUGCUGGGCAACGUGGACUUUCAUCUCCCUCCAAAGAUUUUCUUUGGGCUUGAGAACUGGAGACUGGCUAGGCCACUCCAGGACAUUGAAAUGCUUCUUACGAAGCCACUCCUUCAUUGCCCGGGCGGUGUGUUUGGGAUCAUUGUCAUGCUGAAAGACCCAGCCACGUUUCAUCUUCAAUGCCCUUGCUGAUGGAAGGAGGUUUUCACUCAAAAUCUCACGAUACAUGGCCCCAUUCAUUCCUUUACACGGAUCAGUCGUCCUGGUCCCUUUGCAGAAAAACAGCCCCAAAGCAUGAUGUUUCCACACCCAUGCUUCACAGUAGCAAACUUCAGACGGGCCUGGACAUGUACUGGCUUAAGCAGGGGGACACGUCUGGCACUGCAGGAUUUGAGUCCCUGGCGACGUAGUGUGUUACUGAUGCUUGUAGCAGCACACCCGAGGGUGUUGAGAAGGAGAGGAUCGGAAGAGAAGGAGGACGGAGGUUAAAUUGUGCCUUGGCAGGAAAAAUAUGAUUGAAUUGACUAUGGCAAUUGAUAUCUGCACUGUUUGAUUAUUUAUUACUUAUACGAUUAUAACCUGAAUACCUACCUUGAUGUUUAAUUCCAUGCUGAAAUGUGUCUGAUUUGCAUACUGGUAACAUGAUUGAUAGUAACAUUUCGAUAUUGAUUGAUGUUUGACAGAUCCUCCUUGGUAUUUCAUUCCAAGUACAAAAUUAAACAUCACACUUGAUGUAAAUCUUUUUAGUAUGCAUUCACCAUCACAUGUACUUAAUUAAAUUGUGAAAUGUAUUUUCAUUAACGCUGUUGAAAUUGUGAAAUUACUCCAAAUUUUCGGGUACCGUUUAUGAAACUGAGCCCAUUGAUAGAUAUUAAGUCAACUUUGAAUAAGAACGUAAGAAACUGUACAACAGACCUGUGCUGCAGGACAUCUGCAAGAUAGUGCUGGCAUGCUUAAAUAAUAAAUCAAUGUCAAAUCAAUUGCACUAAGCUGUUCUCACAAUUUACCAUAAGGUGUAAAAUUACCAAACUAUAACGUCUGUCAUUAAAUGAACACCAAGGUG